AGCGGCGGCAAAAUAUGAACAUACUAGACCAACGGUGCCGGUUUCUCUGGUGAGAGAUCCGGAAGUUUUAGGGUUCCGACAAGGUCCGGUUAACUCCGGUGAUAACCAGAUUUAGAUACGGGCUCAGCAUAGUGGUUUGUUGAAUUGGUGCAUGUGUGAAGAAUUGAUGUUACUCUGUCCAGUUUGCAAGGUUUUAAAGGAAUGGAACGCGUUUGCUUGGUGGGAUGACCUUAAUUAUUAUAGCUCGGCAUAA
This 253-nucleotide long non-coding RNA is filed under the name Helianthus annuus (common sunflower). RNAcentral's name for it is "hypothetical non coding rna". The record is from RNAcentral. Lineage: Eukaryota; Viridiplantae; Streptophyta; Magnoliopsida; Asterales; Asteraceae.